AUGGGGACCCACACGUGCGUGGGCACCCACAGGGCUCCCAGCACCAUCGCUUCCACGGGCAGCGCCCUGGGGUGCAGGGCUCCUUCCCGCGGGGCAGCCCCUCACCGCGGCUGCCUUUUGGGGACGGGGACGCGGGGUUUGAGCCGCAGGAUUGCAAAGCAGCUCUGGGCUGGGGGACCCUCCGGCACGGCCACUGCCGCUCCCCAGUGUCCUGCCACUUUACCUGGCGAAACGACACGUUGCGGCCACCGAGGCGAGGAAGGCGAGCCGCACGAUGAGCAUCCCACGCGGCUGCAGCGGCUUAGUCAUGCUUGCACCUCUGCACAUCCACACAGCAGCGGCACGGGCAGGCAGCACCCCGGGUUAAGGGGGACCCCCCCCCCCCCCGGGACACACGGCUCCGAGAAGCCCCCCCCGGCUUCCCCGCACCGCGGGCGCCUCCUGAUCUGGGGACCCGUCCCCGUGCCCCGCGCAGCCAGGCCGGCUCAGCAUCGCCUCCUCCUCCGCACCAGGGCUCCCCUGCGGCCGUGGCCCCGAGCUGCGCCCGGAGAAGAGCCCCGGGCUCGCCCCGCUCCGCGCCCGCAUCGCCCCCAGCCGCCCUCCGGUGAGCAGAAGGCUCGGGGCACCCGCGCUCCUCCCCAUCCCGUCCUGCUUUCCGAGGCACCGACGGGUCACCGGAGCCUAAAUCAUCCCGGAGGUUUCUCGGGGCUCUCGGCUGUUCCCUACCGGCACCGGGCACCCUCCUGCCAAGGAACACGACAUGACAAAACCCCCACCACUGGUGCAACACCGGGGCUGGGUCCUGAAACGCAGAGAUAUCAGGAGUGGGAAGAAUGGAUAGGAUCAGUAUUUCACCCUCCCUGUUGGUGUUGGAUUUACACACUGGUAAGUGUGCAGGUAGGCCAGGUGAGGCUAACCAGCUCAAUACGAUGUUGUUCCUUUGAUGUUCUUACACCGUGGUGGCUACAGAUCAGCAUUAAAUUACAGAAGGGAAAUUUUCCUCCUUUACACAAAAAAAAAAAAAAAAAAAAGCAAUACCACCACCUAUCCAUUUAUAUGCACCCAAGGUUUAGGGGCUGA
RNAcentral lists this long non-coding RNA (1080 nucleotides) under Anser cygnoides (Swan goose). Its description in RNAcentral is "lncRNA (ENSACDG00005007527.1)". Lineage: Eukaryota; Metazoa; Chordata; Aves; Anseriformes; Anatidae. The record is from RNAcentral.